AACGGCGGCCGUAACUAUAACGGUCCUAAGGUAGCGAAAUUCCUUGUCAGGUAAGUUCUGACCCGCAUGAAAGGCGUAAUGAUUUGGGCACUGUCUCAACAGCCCGCCCGGCGAAAUUGUAGUACCGGUGAAGAUGCCGGUUACCCGCGACAAGACGGAAAGACCCCAUGGAGCUUUACUGUAGCCUAAUAUUGGGUUUCGAUGUUGCAUGCACAGGAUAGAUGGGACACAGGGAAACAAUCGCUUUGGCGGUUGCGGAGUGGCCGUUGGGAUACCAUCCUUGCGAUAUUGGAAUUCUAACCUGCGGCUCUGAAUCGAGUCGGGGGACAUUGUUAGGUGGGCAGUUUGACUGGGGCGGUCGCCUCCUAAAAAGUAACGGAGGCGUUCAAAGGUUCGCUCAGCUUGAACGGAAAUCAAGCAAAAGAGUGCAAACGCAGAAGCGAGCCUAACUGCGAGACUGACGGGUCGAGCAGUAACGAAAGUUGGAGUUAGUGAUCCGGUGGUAUGUGAGUGGAAAUGCCAUCGCUCAACGGAUAAAAGUUACCCUGGGGAUAACAGGCUGAUCUCCCCCAAGAGUCCACAUCGACGGGGAGGUUUGGCACCUCGAUGUCGGCUCAUCGCAUCCUGGGGCUGAAGUAGGUCCCAAGGGUUGGGCUGUUCGCCCAUUAAAGCGGUACGCGAGCUGGGUUCAGAACGUCGUGAGACAGUUCGGUCCCUAUCUGUCGUGGGCGCAGGAUAUUUGAUGGGAGCUGUCCCUAGUACGAGAGGACCGGGACGGACGUACCUCUGGCGCACCAGUUGUUCCGCCAGGAGCAUAGCUGGGCAACUACGUACGGAUCGGAUAAACGCUGAAAGCAUCUAAGCGUGAAGCCGACCCAAAGAUAAGAUAUCCCACUGAUUUGAUCAGGUAAGACCCCUUGAAGACUACAAGGUCGAUAGGCACGAUGUGUAAGUGGAGCGAUCCAUUCAGCAAGCGUGUACUAAUAGGUCGAGGGCUUGACCAC
RNAcentral lists this ribosomal RNA (1004 nucleotides) under human gut metagenome. Its description in RNAcentral is "bacterial LSU rRNA". It matches the Rfam family "Bacterial large subunit ribosomal RNA", at positions 1926 to 2925 of the family's 2925-position model. The record is from RNAcentral.